This is a small nucleolar RNA of Hucho hucho (huchen), 139 nucleotides long. Its record names the gene SNORA72. It matches the Rfam family "Small nucleolar RNA SNORA72". From Rfam's summary of the family: U72 is a member of the H/ACA class of snoRNAs. The snoRNA gene is located in intron 4 of the ribosomal L30 protein gene in human, mouse and chicken. NCBI's taxonomy places the organism in Eukaryota, Metazoa, Chordata, Actinopteri, Salmoniformes, Salmonidae. The record is from Ensembl.
CUGCGAAUCAUUCUCGCCUGUUCGACCUAUCAGUGGUCAGAUCAGGGCUAGUACUUCGCUAGAUGGACACCAACAUGAGAACUGGCAGAUGUGACAUCAUUUCACUUCUGUUCUCACCCUGCACCCGUUGGUUACAUUU